RNAcentral lists this transfer RNA (72 nucleotides) under Schistosoma japonicum. RNAcentral's name for it is "tRNA-OTHER". Lineage: Eukaryota; Metazoa; Platyhelminthes; Trematoda; Strigeidida; Schistosomatidae. The record is from RNAcentral.
GACUUAGUGGUCCAGUAGUAAAGCGUUUGCCAGGGAGCCAAAUGGUCCUGGGUUCGAUCCCCGAUGGAGUCG